Molecule: unclassified non-coding RNA, 177 nt
Filed under: uncultured Pezizaceae
Lineage: Eukaryota; Fungi; Ascomycota; Pezizomycetes; Pezizales; Pezizaceae
Description: sequence contains ITS2
Source: RNAcentral
CCCCCCACUCAAGUAUCCUUUUGUGCUACUUGGAUUGCUUUGGAGAGGUGCUUCUUGAUAGAGUCGCCCUCCAGAAAUUUAUAGGCAGUAUGGUUUGCACCUGAACCAGACGUAAUAAUAAUAAAAUCGUUUGUUUGGGUAUAAUUGUGCUUGCCUUAACCCACCCAUUUUUACCUU